Molecule: ribosomal RNA, 429 nt
Filed under: Acidobacteriota bacterium
Lineage: Bacteria; Pseudomonadati; Acidobacteriota
Description: Acidobacteria bacterium partial 16S ribosomal RNA
Rfam family: Bacterial small subunit ribosomal RNA
Source: RNAcentral
UGGGGAAUUUUGGACAAUGGGGGAAACCCUGAUCCAGCCAUCCCGCGUGUGCGAUGAAGGCCUUCGGGUUGUAAAGCACUUUUGGCAGGAAAGAAACGUCAUGGGUUAAUACCCCGUGAAACUGACGGUACCUGCAGAAUAAGCACCGGCUAACUACGUGCCAGCAGCCGCGGUAAUACGUAGGGUGCAAGCGUUAAUCGGAAUUACUGGGCGUAAAGCGUGCGCAGGCGGUUCGGAAAGAAAGAUGUGAAAUCCCAGAGCUCAACUUUGGAACUGGAUUUUUAACUACCCGGCUAGAGUGUGUCAGAGGGAGGUGGAAUUCCGCGUGUAGCAGUGAAAUGCGUAGAUAUGCGGAGGAACACCGAUGGCGAAGGCAGCCUCCUGGUAUAACACUGACGCUCAUGCACGAAAGCGUGGGGAGCAAACAGG